This 119-nucleotide ribosomal RNA is filed under the name Clostridium botulinum. Its description in RNAcentral is "partial 16S ribosomal RNA". It matches the Rfam family "Bacterial small subunit ribosomal RNA", at positions 1 to 123 of the family's 1533-position model. Lineage: Bacteria; Bacillati; Bacillota; Clostridia; Eubacteriales; Clostridiaceae. The record is from RNAcentral.
AUUGAGAGUUUGAUCCUGGCUCAGGACGAACGCUGGCGGCGUGCCUAACACAUGCAAGUCGAGCGAUGAAGCUUCUUCGGAAGUGGAUUAGCGGCGGACGGGUGAGUAACACGUGGGCA